AAUAAAUCAAUCUUUUACUUUUUUACCUACGAUGUUUGACUCUUUGUCUUAUUAAAAAAAUUACGAUUAACAUUUUUGUUUUUACUAGAUGAUAAAUCAUAAAUAGUACUUUACGUGUGACUAAUUUUUUUUAAUUUCUUGAAAAAUUUUCAAAUAAAACAGAUGGUCAAACGCUGGACACACAUGGUCAAAAGUUUGCCUUAUU
RNAcentral lists this microRNA precursor (205 nucleotides) under Oryza brachyantha (malo sina). RNAcentral's name for it is "MIR812 microRNA precursor family". It matches the Rfam family "MIR812 microRNA precursor family". Lineage: Eukaryota; Viridiplantae; Streptophyta; Magnoliopsida; Poales; Poaceae. The record is from Rfam by way of RNAcentral.